RNAcentral lists this ribosomal RNA (253 nucleotides) under uncultured Bacteroidaceae bacterium. RNAcentral's name for it is "partial 16S ribosomal RNA". It matches the Rfam family "Bacterial small subunit ribosomal RNA", at positions 524 to 776 of the family's 1533-position model. Lineage: Bacteria; Pseudomonadati; Bacteroidota; Bacteroidia; Bacteroidales; Bacteroidaceae. The record is from RNAcentral.
UACGGAGGAUGCGAGCGUUAUCCGGAUUUAUUGGGUUUAAAGGGAGCGUAGACGGGAGAUUAAGUCAGUUGUGAAAGGCUGCGGCUCAACCGCAGCACUGCAGUUGAUACUGGUUUCCUUGAGUGCGGUUGAGGUAUGUGGAAUUCGUGGUGUAGCGGUGAAAUGCUUAGAUAUCACGAAGAACUCCGAUUGCGAAGGCAGUUCACUGGGCCGCAACUGACGCUGAAGCUCGAAAGUGCGGGUAUCAAACAGG